CGCCAGCACGUGACGCAGAAAGCAAUACCAAACCAAAAGUGUUGCCAGGAAGUGACGCAGAAAGCAAGAUCACUGCUGCUAUUCUCAUCAUCUUCGCGCUCAUCUGCUUAGUGAUACCCGUUUCUACAAUCCUCUUCCUGGAGUGGAGAAGAAGAAAGGCCACUCAUAAACCCCAUAUUGAAAAGGAAACUCUUGCAGGAGGACAGACUCAAGUGUCUCUUCUUGAUGAGCCCAGCUUCUGUUUUCCUCAGCAGGAACGCGGCAGCAGCAGCAAUCAGAGUUCGACGGCCUCGCUAGUCUCACAUGAUAUCGGCCCUUUGGAAGCAUGAACUUGUGUUGUGUAGCAAGCUGAACAUAAAUGAGCAUUCAUUUGUAGUUAUAUGUAUAAUGUCUAUGUAAUGUGUAAUUUAUUUACUGUAUUCUACUGGAAUCCUGUCGUUAAUACUGUAUUCAUUAUGUUUGUGAUUUUUGUUGCCAUUAAAGCAGCUGAAGUAUA
This is a long non-coding RNA of Sinocyclocheilus grahami, 496 nucleotides long. RefSeq lists it as uncharacterized. The transcript has 4 exons. NCBI's taxonomy places the organism in Eukaryota, Metazoa, Chordata, Actinopteri, Cypriniformes, Cyprinidae. The record is from RefSeq and is a predicted model, not a curated record.